GCCGGCACAAGUGGCGUAAUAGACUCCAAAAACCGCUCCAAAUUACUCAACGGAGAAACCACAGGAUCAGAGGCCCGCACGGAAAGUGGUUUGGGAGAAUCCUCAACAGCAGUAUGGUACUCAGGUUCCCUAUCUAACAGUUUUUCCGCUUUUUCCUUGACCAAAGGCAAUUGACUCGCAGUGACAUCGCUCUGAGCUCUGCGCAGUUGAUCAUUAUGUUGAUUCUGGUGUACCCUGCGAGCCUUCGCCGGUUGGUAAAACCGAUCCUCCCCGCGACCUCGCGUAGUCAACUGCAAUCCAGCCCCCAACAUUUCUACACCUAAAUCNNNNNNNNAAAAAAAAAAAAAGAAGAAAAUGGGGCACCUAAAUCCUACAAUUAAUUUCUUAUACUCCGGUUUAAUCCUCUGAACAGCGAGAUUCCAAGUCAACGAAACGAAAUGCAAGUGGCUAGUGGAUUGGAAAUUCAAAACAAGGACGAACUUAUCACCAAACGGUAUUGAACGAUUUCUGUAACGACAGGGUAGUGAAAAAGGAGAAUCGGAUCGUAGGAGACGAUUGAAGAGAGUGGUGAUAUUAAAACCCUAAAACGGACACGAUGGAUCUAAAUAGUAAAUAAAAAGUCAGAGAGAUUAGAAGGAAAACAAAGCGAUGAC
This 653-nucleotide unclassified non-coding RNA is filed under the name Hevea brasiliensis (rubber tree). Lineage: Eukaryota; Viridiplantae; Streptophyta; Magnoliopsida; Malpighiales; Euphorbiaceae. The record is from RNAcentral.